Marmota marmota marmota (Alpine marmot) is the source of this 93-nucleotide small nuclear RNA. NCBI's taxonomy places the organism in Eukaryota, Metazoa, Chordata, Mammalia, Rodentia, Sciuridae. The record is from Ensembl.
GGGCUGCCCAUAUACUAAAAUUUGAACAGAGAUUAAUUAGCACAGCCUUUUCACAAAAAUGACAUGCAGAUUUGUGAAGCAUUCCAAAUUUAA